RNAcentral lists this ribosomal RNA (253 nucleotides) under uncultured bacterium. RNAcentral's name for it is "partial 16S ribosomal RNA". It matches the Rfam family "Bacterial small subunit ribosomal RNA", at positions 524 to 776 of the family's 1533-position model. The record is from RNAcentral.
UACGUAGGGUGCGAGCGUUGUCCGGAAUUACUGGGCGUAAAGAGCUUGUAGGUGGUUUGUCGCGUUGUUCGUGAAAUCUCACGGCUUAACUGUGAGCGUGCGGGCGAUACGGGCAGACUAGAGUACUGCAGGGGAGACUGGAAUUCCUGGUGUAGCGGUGGAAUGCGCAGAUAUCAGGAGGAACACCGGUGGCGAAGGCGGGUCUCUGGGCAGUAACUGACGCUGAGAAGCGAAAGCGUGGGGAGCAAACAGG